Macaca fascicularis (crab-eating macaque) is the source of this 85-nucleotide microRNA precursor. The record is from Ensembl. Lineage: Eukaryota; Metazoa; Chordata; Mammalia; Primates; Cercopithecidae.
CUCAGGCUGUGACCCUCUAGAGGGAAGCGCUUUCUGUGGUCUGAAAGAAAAGAAAGUGCUUCCUUUUAGAGGGUUACCGUUUGAG